GUAGCGAAAGCGAGUCUGAAUAGGGCGUUUAGUAUUUGGUCGUAGACCCGAAACCAGGUGAUCUACCCUUGGUCAGGUUGAAGUUCAGGUAACACUGAAUGGAGGACCGAACCGACUUACGUUGAAAAGUGAGCGGAUGAACUGAGGGUAGCGGAGAAAUUCCAAUCGAACCUGGAGAUAGCUGGUUCUCUCCGAAAUAGCUUUAGGGCUAGCCUCAAGUGAUGAUUAUUGGAGGUAGAGCACUGUUUGGACGAGGGGCCCCUCUCGGGUUACCGAAUUCAGACAAACUCCGAAUGCCAAUUAAUUUAACUUGGGAGUCAGAACAUGGGUGAUAAGGUCCGUGUUCGAAAGGGAAACAGCCCAGACCACCAGCUAAGGU
This 379-nucleotide ribosomal RNA is filed under the name Staphylococcus aureus. Its description in RNAcentral is "partial 23S ribosomal RNA". It matches the Rfam family "Bacterial large subunit ribosomal RNA", at positions 668 to 1045 of the family's 2925-position model. The record is from RNAcentral. Lineage: Bacteria; Bacillati; Bacillota; Bacilli; Caryophanales; Staphylococcaceae.